Molecule: non-coding RNA, 294 nt
Organism: Vicia faba (fava bean)
Lineage: Eukaryota; Viridiplantae; Streptophyta; Magnoliopsida; Fabales; Fabaceae
Source: the annotation of a GenBank genome assembly
AUGCGUUUAGCUGAUUUCAACACCUUGAAACUUUUCCUCUCUUAUGUUACUGCGAUUUUCAGCGAGAAUCUUCGUCGCCACCAUUGCCUUGAACCUCCCUCCCAAUCACCGCAUAUCAGUACAUUGGGAACAAAAAACCUAAGUUUAAGGGAUACAAAAUUCAGCAAGAAUCAAGAGGAAUCUGCCUUCCUAUUUCACUUCUCUGUCGGCCUCCGACGAACCUCAAACUUCUGUUUGAUCUCAAUCUCCUUCUUUAAUCGGCGCCGUCGUGAACAAGUGCUUCUUGAUAAUUGA